GUCGCCUGGUGAGGCUCUGGAGGAGGGUGCGACGGAUAUAGGGACUCGAGGUCCGCCGCGGGAAUGAUCCACGAACUGCUCUUGGCUCUGAGCGGGUAUCCAGGGUCCAUUUUCACCUGGAACAAGCGAAGUGGCCUGCAGGUGUCACAGGACUUCCCAUUUCUCCAUCCCAGUGAAACCAGUGUCCUGAAUCGACUCUGCCGGCUGGGCACAGACUACAUUCGUUUCAUCGAGUUCACUGAACAGUACACGGGCCAUGUGCAGCAGCAGGAUCACCAUCCAUCUCAGCAGGGCCAAGGUGGGUCACAUGGAAUCUACCUAAGGGCCUUCUGCACGGGGCUGGAUUCAGUUUUGCAGCCUUAUCGCCAAGCACUGCUUGAUUUGGAACAAGAGUUCCUGGCUGACCCCCAUCUCUCCAUAUCACAUGUCAAUUACUCCUUAGAUCAGUUCCAGCUCCUUUUCCCCUCUGUGAUGGUUGUAGUAGAACAAAUUAAAAGUCAAAAGAUUCAUGGUUGUCAAAUCCUGGAAACAGUGUACAAACACAGCUGUGGAGGUUUGCCUCCUGUUCGCAGUGCACUAGAAAAAAUCCUGGCCGUGUGUCACGGGGUCAUGUACAAGCAGCUCUCAGCCUGGAUGCUACAUGGACUCCUCUUGGACCAGCACGAAGAGUUCUUUAUCAAACAGGGUCCAUCUUCUGGUAGUGUCAGUGCCCAGCCAGAAGAGGAUGAGGAGGAUCUGGGCAUUGGGGGACUGACAGGAAAACAACUGAGAGAACUCCAGGACUUGCGCCUGAUAGAAGAAGAGAACAUGCUGGCACCGUCUCUAAAGCAGUUUUCUCUGCGAGUGGAGACUCUGCCAUCCUACAUUCCAGUGAGGGUUGCUGAAAAAAUCCUGUUUGUUGGAGAAUCUGUCCAGAUGUUCGAGAAUCAAAAUGUAAACCUGACUAGGAAAGGAUCCAUUUUGAAAAACCAGGAGGACACUUUUGCUGCAGAGCUGCAUCGUCUCAAGCAGCAACCCCUCUUCAGCCUGGUGGACUUUGAGCAGGUGGUGGAUCGUAUACGUAGUACUGUGGCUGAGCAUCUCUGGAAGCUGAUGGUGGAAGAGUCAGAUUUACUGGGUCAGCUGAAGAUCAUUAAAGACUUUUACCUUCUGGGACGUGGAGAACUGUUUCAGGCCUUCAUUGAUACAGCUCAACACAUGUUAAAAACACCACCCACUGCAGUAACUGAACAUGAUGUGAAUGUGGCCUUCCAACAGUCAGCACACAAGGUGCUGCUAGAUGAUGACAACCUCCUCCCUCUGUUGCACUUAACAAUCGAGUAUCAUGGAAAGGAGCAUAAAGAUGCUACUCAGGCAAGAGAAGGGCCUUCUCGGGAAACUUCUCCCCGGGAAGCCCCCGCAUCCGGCUGGGCAGCCCUAGGUCUUUCCUAUAAAGUGCAGUGGCCACUACACAUUCUCUUCACACCUGCUGUCCUGGAAAAGUACAAUGUCGUUUUCAAGUACUUGUUGAGUGUGCGCCGGGUACAAGCUGAGCUGCAGCACUGCUGGGCCCUACAGAUGCAGCGCAAGCACCUCAAGUCCAACCAGACCGACGCAGUCAAGUGGCGCCUAAGAAAUCACAUGGCCUUCUUGGUGGAUAAUCUUCAGUACUACCUCCAGGUUGACGUGCUGGAGUCUCAGUUCUCACAGCUGCUUCAUCAAAUCAAUUCUACCCGAGACUUUGAAAGCAUCCGAUUGGCUCAUGACCACUUCCUGAGCAAUUUGCUGGCCCAGUCCUUUAUCUUGUUGAAACCUGUGUUUCACUGCCUGAAUGAAAUCUUAGAUCUCUGCCACAGCUUUUGCUCGCUGGUCAGUCAGAACCUGGGCCCACUGGAUGAACGUGGGGCCGCCCAGCUGAGCAUCCUGGUGAAGGGUUUUAGCCGCCAGUCUUCACUCCUAUUCAAGAUUCUCUCCAGUGUUCGCAAUCAUCAGAUCAACUCGGAUUUGGCUCAACUACUGUUACGACUAGAUUAUAACAAAUAUUACACCCAGGCUGGUGGCACUCUGGGCAGUUUCGGGAUGUGAGAAUUUCUGGUCCACAAACUAAGUAAGUCAAUCACCUGCGUUGUAACAGAAGAUUCAAAACAAACAUCCCAUUCUCUGGCCAGACACUGUAUGUAUGUCUGCAGCUACUGGAAAAGCUCUACCUUUUCUCCUAGAAGCAGUUAUUGAACAUCCAUGGAUACAAAUCCUCCCCCCUCCUUCCCAUGUGGAAGGGGCACCUGCCCCACCUUAGGGGAGUUCUUAACUCAUCCACCAAGGAGGACUUGUGGCGUCAGCCCUCCCUCUGCUGACCAUGCAGGAUCUGUUACAUUGAGAACAUUCAUGUUCGUUUACUGAGCACUUAUGUGCCUAGGUACUGUUCAAACUGGGAGAGACACAGCAGUAAGCUAUACAGAUCAGAACGUUAAAGGCUCAUGUGAAAAAGGAAUUACAUUUAUUAAUAAGUCAAAUUCUGGAUGUUACCACUGAGCAAGAAAGGCACCAGCUGUCCUUCUACAGUGAACAAGCCCAUUGAAAACUGCAGAGAAGGUACUAUGUUUGUCUUGCUAUUUGUUGAGAUGAUUAAGCUCAAAGAAAUGGAUGAAGAAAUCCCAGUUACUACAACCAGAGAUUCAACAUUUAUUUUAUCAUAAAAGUCCAGCAAAUAAAAGUAUAUACAAGAUCCAUGCAAGGAGUCCGGUUACACACAAGACACAUUUAAAACCUGGUUAAAACACAGUCUCCACAACACCAGGGAAUAAAACCGGUAAGACCGAGUAUCCUUAGUGAGAAACAUAAUCGUGUUUAUAUUUUGGAUGCUGCUUGAAUCCAAUUCUCUGCCCAACAAUGAGGCACUGGAUCACCCACUCUUGUGACACCACAGGCAGCUGCAAUGCUUCAGCACACUUCAGCACCGAGGCUGGGCACGAGGGGUCCGUCACCACCACAUCAAAUACCCCUAAAGCAAUAUCUGCAGGAAGCAGGGGAAGGUGAGUGAGGAAAGGAGACUCAAUUUAGCCCUCCAGUAAAAAGAUAGAUGAGCCUUCUCACCAGUAUAUCCCGCUCUGCCCAAACUAAAGCCCUUCAUGUCAAACACAGUGGCACUGAUCACAACCAAAAGUGAAAAGUCACAAUCACUAUACGCUGGCCUUGAGUUUAGCAGGUAUACCGGUGGACACCAGGAGACCAUAAACAGCCCGGUGCGUCACUCAUGUUGGCUCACCUCUUGAAGGUGGUACUCUUCUUCUCUUAGAAACACGGGUAAGGUCACCCUAUCAGGACUGAGACUUAGACCACAAGGCCUAAGUGCCACGGGUCAUGGACAUCCUUGGAGCAAUAACAACACACACACACUUUCCAGGUACCUUUGUUAUGGGCACUUGAAUGGUGCUGCUUCACAGAGGCUGCCCCCCCAGUCAUGAGGAUCUCAGACCAGAGCUCCAGGAAGUUCUGCUGUUGGUCUGAUACCAAGAGUACCUUCAGAUUCUGGAAAGGGUUUUCACGGGGUUGCCUACGAAGGAGUCAGAGAAACAGCACGACAGAUAAUUAAUAGCCAAUGACAGCCUUUCUGCAAAGGGACGCAGGUACAGCUGACUGCUUUCAAUAGCCCUGCAUUAGGGUAUCACCCCCCCCCCCACCCCGCUUCCCUCUUUCUCUGAAUGAUGUGUCUUUUCUGGGAUCCUGACCUUCUCAUCUACCCCUUCUGAUUUCCAUGUUUUUCCUGAGGCCAAGUAUAAGCCAAAUCAUGCUCCUGAGCCUGUAUUUUUAAACGUGUUGCUUAAAACAAGUUGAGAAUAUUGAAUCUAUGUGAAAAUCUCACACGUUUUCAAAAGGUCCCUAACCAAUAUACUCUAGGAUAACAAACUAGAUGAACUGCUAAAAUAAUCUCAAACCCACUCAAAUUCUGUAAUUUAUCCUAUGAUCAUUCUAGUUUCUAGAAAUAUUUACUCUCCUAGAUUCUCCCCCUCUGGAAGCUUGCUGUCUUCCUGUCUGCCAUUCUAGAUGGGCUCUCAGCUACUCACCAAUCCAGAAUUCUUUGCUCCUCGAGGCUGUACCCAGCUGGCAGCAGAUAAUUGCGGUAAUUCUGGAGCUGGUUGGCAUGGCAACUAUCAUGGACCCAGACAUGAGACACACAAGGAAUCCCACUGGCAAGGCACAGGAAGUACUUCCGGGUUCGACAAUGCUGAUCCGCAAUUAGGAGACACUGGUAGGCUGUAUUACACUGGAAGAAAAGGAACGGCACCCAUGGGUCUAGUGACUUCUGGGGAAAGCCCCUGAAUAGCAGCCUUAAUGAGUCAUAGAGAACAGAUCUGAACACUUCCAUAUACUAUCCAAAAUGUGACUGAGUCUGUCCUUCUGCCCACGGCCUCUUCUCUCACUAAAAAGCCCAAGUAGCUUCCCUAGAUAAUCUCCCUGCCUCACCUGCAGCUUUCUAGGGGCCUAAAUCCUCAAGGGACAACCAAACCCCAAGUAUUUAGCCAACACUGUAAUAGGGAUUGCUAUUAAACACCAAUUUUAAUCUGCUUUUGUCCCAGCAACAGAACCACAGCUAUUAAGUAACCCAAGGUUCUAACUUCUCUUCCUUGUACACAGUAAAAAUUCUGUUUCAUGCAACAAUGUUUUGGCAGUUUCCCAGUUCCUGAAAUCUCUAGCGACUGUAUCCAUUGUCCCCGGCCCCUAUCAGCCUUCUUCUCGGUACAGCAAGUGGACUCUUCUCAUCACUGCCCCUUUGGGAAUCUACACAAAGAAACUCCUCACCUGGGCUUCAUUGAAGUCUUCGAGAAUAUAGCCAGCUCCUGCUCGAAGCUGGGAUUCUGUGUAUUGCUUGUUGAAAGGAGGAAUUUCUAAAAAUUCUAUUAAAGAGACAUAACCACGAUAA
Balaenoptera acutorostrata (minke whale) is the source of this 4900-nucleotide RNA transcript. It is a transcript of the gene named tubulin gamma complex component 4, with no coding region annotated. The record is from RefSeq and is a predicted model, not a curated record. Lineage: Eukaryota; Metazoa; Chordata; Mammalia; Artiodactyla; Balaenopteridae. The transcript is spliced from 19 exons.